UACGAAGGGGGCUAGCGUUGUUCGGAAUUACUGGGCGUAAAGCGCACGUAGGCGGAUUUGUAAGUCAGGGGUGAAAUCCUGGAGCUCAACUCCAGAACUGCCUUUGAUACUGGCGAUCUUGAGUCAGGGAGAGGUGAGUGGAACUGCGAGUGUAGAGGUGAAAUUCGUAGAUAUUCGCAAGAACACCAGUGGCGAAGGCGGCUCACUGGCCCGGUACUGACGCUGAGGUGCGAAAGCGUGGGGAGCAAACAGG
Molecule: ribosomal RNA, 253 nt
Filed under: uncultured bacterium
Lineage: Bacteria
Description: partial 16S ribosomal RNA
Rfam family: Bacterial small subunit ribosomal RNA
Source: RNAcentral